RNAcentral lists this transfer RNA (71 nucleotides) under Selaginella moellendorffii. It matches the Rfam family "tRNA". Rfam says of the family: Transfer RNA (tRNA) molecules are approximately 80 nucleotides in length. Lineage: Eukaryota; Viridiplantae; Streptophyta; Lycopodiopsida; Selaginellales; Selaginellaceae. The record is from Rfam by way of RNAcentral.
GCGUCAGUAGUCCAACGGUAAGGAUAACUGCCUUCCAAGCAAUAGACCGAGUUCGACUCUCGGCUGACGCA